Long non-coding RNA from Oncorhynchus keta (chum salmon), 510 nucleotides. RefSeq lists it as uncharacterized. NCBI's taxonomy places the organism in Eukaryota, Metazoa, Chordata, Actinopteri, Salmoniformes, Salmonidae. The transcript has 3 exons. The record is from RefSeq and is a predicted model, not a curated record.
AGCAGCAGACUCAACAGCAGGGGAGGAGAUGGAUGCCAAUGAAGAGGAAAGGGGAGGAGGAGCAAUGGGUUCAAUUACGGGAGGGAGAGGAGGUGCAAUGGGAGGAGCAGAAGCAACAGGUUUGAUUACAGGAGGAAGAGCAACAGGUUCGAUUACAGGAGGAGAAGCAACAGGUUCGAUUACAGGAGGAGAAGCAACAGGUUCGAUUACAGGAGGAGAAGCAACAGGUUCGAUUACAGGAGGAAGAGCAACGGGUUCGAUUACAGGAGGAAGAACAACGGGUUCGAUUACAGGAGGAAGAACAACGGGUUCGAUUACAGGAGGAAGAACAACGGGUUCGAUUACAGGAGGAAGAACAACGGGUGUGAUUACAGGAGGAAGAACAAAGGGUUCGAUUACAGGAGGAAGAACAACAGGUUCGAUUACAGGAGGAAGAACAACGGGUGUGAUGACAGGAGGAUCAGCAACAGGUUUGAUUACAGGAGGUGCAGGGAUGGUAUUGCGUUCCAU